UUGUUGAAGACCCCUAUGAAUGUUUUAUAGUUAGGGACUCUGUCACCAGUGGGAGCUGAAUUCUUCCAGGAGUAGCAAUCCUUCAGCAGCAGAGCAGAGAGUGCCUAAGCUUUUAGGAGGCUGGCAUCUUGUCCUGAAUGCCUUCAUUUGCUUCUUGAAAGACUAAGUGAGCAUAAUAAGUGGCUGAUUUCAACAAGACUGAAGAAAAGUUAACCACAGCAACAAGGACAAAGCCUUUCUCGAAGUCUCAAAAACAGAAGAGUAUGUUUGACAAUGCUGGGUAUUGGUAACCUUAGAAGCACCACAAAUAUAACCAGUCCUGUUCUUUUUGAGCACUGGCACUUGAGGGUUCCCUUAUCGUCUUCUGUUAAGUUACCUGCUCCCUGGAAAUAUUGCAAUAGGUACCAAAGGCUUUACAAAGUGUGGAGACUGAUCUAUCUUGAAGGACAACUUUAAUUUCAUACUCUUUACCGAGGAAAACAUUGGCUGCCUUGACAUAAAGUUCAAUUUUUGUGUUGAAGUUGUCAUUUUUGGAUUUUUCUCUGCCAGUCUGGAUAAAGAUCUCCUCACUAUAUGUCCUUAAAUAAGAUUAACUUAUACUUGCAAAAAAGACUAUUUCAUAAUAUACCUUUUAUGCAGCUCUUGACUGUCUGCAUUACAGAACAUUCUAGACAGACUAGAAUACACAGUACUGCCCAAAAAACUACUCAUCCUACAGCAAAAAUGAAAUAUUUUUGACCAAUCUGAUUUUUUUCCAUUCUUCAUUCCUUAAAACAACAAGUGGCAGCAGUGCCACUUAGUCUAAUAGUUUUGAGCUACAAUGGUUGAGAACUAAGAGUUUCUUUUCUAGACCUCCUGUAUUUUCACUUUCUAGUUCUCUUUAUUUCUACUUAUAAAUAAAAAGGUGGACACUAUAAAAUAAAAAAGGUGAUACUGUAAAAAAUUAGAGUUGUCUGGGUAGGGAAAUGGAAUGUCUUUGUGUUUGCUUUGAUUGUUGGCUGUUUUAAAUGUCUUUAAAUAUCGAACUUCUUGUUACUUCCAUUUCCAUUUGAAAACUGGGGAGUGGAGAAAUUAAACAGCCCACAAGUUUUCCUGAUUCUUUUACGUUUAUUUUCACUUCCAAGAUUUCCUUUGAUUUAAUGUCAUUUUGAUCUUUUGAAAGAAUGUAAAGCAAAAACAUUAAUCUUGAAGUACACUUUAAAUAUUUGAAGGCAAGUGCAUGCUGUAUUCUUUUCUGGUGAUAUUUGGAAUUCCACCGUAGUGAACGUCUUUCUGAAAAAUGUAUGGAGUAUAACAGUACAUCAAUGUCUUAAAAUGUAACUAAAUAUGGCUUCCCAUGUGAAUGGAACUUAAAAUUAGAAUGACACUUCUGUGAAUGCAGAUCCUGUUCCCAAGGGAAGAUUCCACAGCAUAUAUUUAUACAGUAGAUUAAUUCAUCCUUAGAAUCUGUGCUGAUGCUUUGCCAGCAAAGUUGAAAAAGGGACAAGAGCUACUGUGAUCCAAGAAUGCCAGCUGGGUGUGUGCCCAGAGCUGGGCUUUGUCACACCCAGGCUGGUCAGCCGUGGCUGAAGAUAAAAAUCAUUAGUAUGUACUGACUAAUGACUGCUACUGCGGGAGAAGUAAAGGCCUUUGUAUUUGAGACUCUAAAGCACUUAUUUUAUUGAAAAGUGACUCAGGCUCUUUGAC
Meleagris gallopavo (turkey) is the source of this 1686-nucleotide non-coding RNA. NCBI's taxonomy places the organism in Eukaryota, Metazoa, Chordata, Aves, Galliformes, Phasianidae. The record is from RefSeq and is a predicted model, not a curated record.